GACGAACGCUGGCGGCGUGCUUAACACAUGCAAGUCGAACGGAAAGGCCCUGCUUUUGUGGGGUGCUCGAGUGGCGAACGGGUGAGUAACACGUGAGUAACCUGCCCUUGAUUUUGGGAUAACUUCAGGAAACUGGGGCUUAUACCGGAUAGGAGCUCCUGCUGCAUGGUGGGGGUUGGAAAGAUUCGGCGGUUGGGGAUGGACUCGCGGCUUAUCAGCCUGUUGGUGGGGUAGUGGCCUACCAAGGCUUUGACGGGUAGCCGGCCUGAGAGGGUGACCGGCCACAUUGGGACUGAGAUACGGCCCAGACUCCUACGGGGGGCAGCAGUGGGGAAUAUUGCACAAUGGGCGGAAGCCUGAUGCAGCAACGCCGCGUGCGGGAUGACGGCCUUCGGGUUGUAAACCGCUUUCGCCUGUGACGAAGCGUGAGUGACGGUAAUGUGUAAAGAAGCACCGGCUAACUACGUG
RNAcentral lists this ribosomal RNA (468 nucleotides) under uncultured bacterium. RNAcentral's name for it is "partial 16S ribosomal RNA". It matches the Rfam family "Bacterial small subunit ribosomal RNA", at positions 28 to 507 of the family's 1533-position model. The record is from RNAcentral.